This 919-nucleotide ribosomal RNA is filed under the name Hymenella cerealis. Its description in RNAcentral is "LSU rRNA". It matches the Rfam family "Eukaryotic large subunit ribosomal RNA", at positions 38 to 966 of the family's 3401-position model. Lineage: Eukaryota; Fungi; Ascomycota. The record is from RNAcentral.
GCAUAUCUAUAAGCGGAGGAAAAAGAAAACCAACAGGGAUUACCUCAGUAACGGCGAGUGAAGCGGUAACAGCUCAAAUUUGAAAGCUCGCUCUUUUAGGGUGCGCAUUGUAAUUUGUAGAAGAUGCUUCGGGUGUGGCCCCGGUCUAAGUUCCUUGGAACAGGACGUCAUAGAGGGUGAGAAUCCCGUAUGUGACUGGGUGCUUUCGCUCAUGUGAAGCUCUUUCGACGAGUCGAGUUGUUUGGGAAUGCAGCUCAAAAUGGGUGGUAAAUUUCAUCUAAAGCUAAAUAUUGGCCAGAGACCGAUAGCGCACAAGUAGAGUGAUCGAAAGAUGAAAAGCACUUUGGAAAGAGAGUUAAACAGUACGUGAAAUUGUUGAAAGGGAAGCGCUUGCAACCAGACUUGCGCGCUGAUGAUCAUCCGGGCUUCUGCCCGGUGCACUCGUCUGCGCUCAGGCCAGCAUCGGUUUUGGUGGUGGGAUAAAGGCCUUGGGAAUGUAGCUUUCUUUCGGGGAGUGUUAUAGCCCUCGGUGCAAUGCCGCCUACCGGGACCGAGGACCGCGCUUCGGCUAGGAUGCUGGCGUAAUGGUUGUAAGCGACCCGUCUUGAAACACGGACCAAGGAGUCUAACAUCUAUGCGAGUGUUUGGGUGUCAAACCCAUACGCGUAAUGAAAGUGAACGGAGGUGAGAACCCUUAAGGGUGCAUCAUCGACCGAUCCUGAUGUCUUCGGAUGGAUUUGAGUAAGAGCAUAGCUGUUGGGACCCGAAAGAUGGUGAACUAUGCGUGAAUAGGGUGAAGCCAGAGGAAACUCUGGUGGAGGCUCGCAGCGGGUUCUGACGUGCAAAUCGAUUCGUCAAAUUUGCGUAUAGGGGCGGAAAGACUAAUCGAACCCAUCUAGUAGCUGGGUUGCUGGCGGAG